AUCGAACGCUGGCGGCAGGCCUAACACAUGCAAGUCGAGCGGAUGCAGCGAGAUUGCUCCUGGAUUCAGCGGCAGACGGGUGGGUCAUGCCUAGGAAUCUGGCAGGAAGCGGGGGAUAACGUGCGAAUACGGGCGCUAAUACCGCAUGCGACCUGUGGGCGACAGUGGGGGAUCUUCGGACCUCACGCUAUCAGGUGAGGCUAGGUCUGAUUAGCUUGUUGGUGCGGUAACGGGCUACCGAGGCGACGAUCCGAAACUGGUCUGAGAGGAUGAUCAGGCACACUGUAUCUGAGACACGGCCCACACUCCUACGGGGGGCAGCAGUGGGGACUAUUGCACGAUGGGCGAGUGGCUGAUCCAGCCCUGUCGGCGGAGUGCAGAAGCUCCUAUGAUUGUAGAGUGCUGUAAGUUGUGAGGUAGGAAAGUAAUUUAAGCGCGUACUGUUUUGACGGUACCAACAGAAGAAGCACCGGCUAACUUCGUG
RNAcentral lists this ribosomal RNA (484 nucleotides) under uncultured bacterium. RNAcentral describes it as "partial 16S ribosomal RNA". It matches the Rfam family "Bacterial small subunit ribosomal RNA", at positions 30 to 507 of the family's 1533-position model. The record is from RNAcentral.